Molecule: ribosomal RNA, 153 nt
Filed under: Mondia whitei
Lineage: Eukaryota; Viridiplantae; Streptophyta; Magnoliopsida; Gentianales; Apocynaceae
Also listed under: 5 other names
Description: 5.8S ribosomal RNA
Rfam family: 5.8S ribosomal RNA
About the family: 5.8S ribosomal RNA (5.8S rRNA) is a component of the large subunit of the eukaryotic ribosome. It is transcribed by RNA polymerase I as part of the 45S precursor that also contains 18S and 28S rRNA. Functionally, it is thought that 5.8S rRNA may be involved in ribosome translocation.
Source: RNAcentral
CUCGGCAACGGAUAUCUAGGCUCUCGCAUCGAUGAAGAACGUAGCAAACUGCGAUACUUGGUGUGAAUUGCAGAAUCCCGUGAACCAUCGAGUCUUUGAACGCAAGUUGCGCCUGAAGCCACUAGGUUGAGGGCACGUCUGCCUGGGCGUCAC